UACGAAGGGGGCUAGCGUUGCUCGGAAUUACUGGGCGUAAAGGGCGCGUAGGCGGCACUGUUAGUCAGGCGUGAAAUUCCUGGGCUCAACCUGGGGACUGCGCUUGAUACGGCAGAGCUAGAGGAUGGAAGAGGGUCGCGGAAUUUCCAGUGUAGAGGUGAAAUUCGUAGAUAUUGGGAAGAACACCGGUGGCGAAGGCGGCGACCUGGUCCAUUACUGACGCUGAGGCGCGACAGCGUGGGGAGCAAACAGG
Molecule: ribosomal RNA, 253 nt
Filed under: uncultured bacterium
Lineage: Bacteria
Description: partial 16S ribosomal RNA
Rfam family: Bacterial small subunit ribosomal RNA
Source: RNAcentral